AUGGGUAGUUGGACCAGAUUCCCAUCCUACUUCGUCUCCCCGAAUAUCUGGAAUAGUCUGUCAUGGACUCAUGGAGAGAUUGCUCACUCGUUGGGCAUGGUCACUGGUGCGGCGACUGUCCUCACAGACACAGAGAACCUUGCUGCCUUGUCGCUAAAUGACACCAUGUUGUGGAAAAACUUUAACCACCUGACCGACACAUUCAUCCCCACCAUAAAGGUCCGGAUUGGUGUUGUCACGUGUGGCAGUACCUUCCUCGUUCGCUGGUCCCCUUCUUCUUUAAAAGGAAAGUGUAGGCCAGGUCGAAAGUCCUCUUCUGCGCUCGCGCACACAUGCUCUCGUUAUCGCUCCCGUUCAGCCCCUUCGAGAUUGCCAACCCGACAUGUAUAG
Molecule: ribosomal RNA, 390 nt
Filed under: Triticum aestivum (bread wheat)
Lineage: Eukaryota; Viridiplantae; Streptophyta; Magnoliopsida; Poales; Poaceae
Description: partial small subunit ribosomal RNA
Source: RNAcentral